RNAcentral lists this ribosomal RNA (253 nucleotides) under uncultured bacterium. RNAcentral's name for it is "partial 16S ribosomal RNA". It matches the Rfam family "Bacterial small subunit ribosomal RNA", at positions 524 to 776 of the family's 1533-position model. The record is from RNAcentral.
GACGUAGGGCGCGAGCGUUGUCCGGAUUUAUUGGGCGUAAAGAGCUCGUAGGCGGUCUGUCGCGUCGGCUGUGAAAACCCGCGGCUCAACCUCGGGCCUGCAGUCGAUACGGGCAGACUAGAGUGCGGUAGGGGAGACUGGAAUUCCUGGUGUAGCGGUGAAAUGCGCAGAUAUCAGGAGGAACACCGGUGGCGAAGGCGGGUCUCUGGGCCGAAAUUGACGCUGAGGAGCGAAAGCGUGGGGAGCAAACAGG